This 237-nucleotide ribosomal RNA is filed under the name uncultured bacterium. RNAcentral describes it as "partial 16S ribosomal RNA". It matches the Rfam family "Bacterial small subunit ribosomal RNA", at positions 524 to 753 of the family's 1533-position model. The record is from RNAcentral.
UACGUAGGGUGCGAGCGUUGUCCGGAAUUACUGGGCGUAAAGAGCUCGUAGGUGGUUUGUCGCGUUGUCCGUGAAAUUCCCUGGCUUAACUGGGGCGUGCGGGCGAUACGGGCAGACUGGAGUACUGGCAGGGGAGACUGGAAUUCCGUGGGUGUAGCGGUGGAAUGCGCAGAUAUCAGGAGGGAACACCCGAGUCGGCGAAGGCAGGUCUCUGGGCCGACUACUGACGCUGGAGAA